RNAcentral lists this microRNA precursor (100 nucleotides) under Marmota monax (woodchuck). The record is from RNAcentral. Lineage: Eukaryota; Metazoa; Chordata; Mammalia; Rodentia; Sciuridae.
AGUGGGAUUGCUCUGUCAAAUGGUUCCAUUCCAAUUUUUUCAAGGAAUCUCCAUACUGCUUUCCAGAUUGGCUGCACCAAUUUGAAGUCCCACCAGCAUU